UAGACGAAUGAUGGUAUCUGGUGGCAUAUGAGUCAUUUAGGAUGAAUAAUACAUGUCUGGAAGUCUGAGGUCUGA
Small nucleolar RNA from Choloepus hoffmanni (Hoffmann's two-fingered sloth), 75 nucleotides. NCBI's taxonomy places the organism in Eukaryota, Metazoa, Chordata, Mammalia, Pilosa, Megalonychidae. The record is from Ensembl.